UUUCCUAUGGUGAACCAGCGGAAGGAUCAUUACAGAGAUCAUGCCCUCUAAGGGUAGACCUCCCACCCUGUGUUACUACUCUUGUUGCUUUGGCAGGCCGCCUUCGGGCUCUCGGCUCCGGCUGAGGUUCGCCUGCCAGAGGACCCCAACUCUGUGUUUAGUGUCGUCUGAGUACUAUAUAAUAAGUUAAAACUUUCAACAACGGAUCUCUUGGUUCUGGCAUCGAUGAAGAACGCAGC
RNAcentral lists this unclassified non-coding RNA (239 nucleotides) under uncultured fungus. RNAcentral describes it as "sequence contains ITS1, 5.8S rRNA gene". The stretch from base 191 to 239 matches the Rfam family "5.8S ribosomal RNA", at positions 1 to 49 of the family's 154-position model. The record is from RNAcentral. Lineage: Eukaryota; Fungi.